GAUGAACGCUAGCGGCAGGCCUAACACAUGCAAGGUCAGGGGUAACAUAGAAAAGCUUGCUUUUCUGAUGACGACCGGCGCACGGGUGCGUAACGCGUAUACAACCACCUUUUAGCGGGGAAUAGCCCAGGGAAACUUGGAUUAGUGCCCCAUAGUAUAUAGACUUCUCCUGAAGUUUAUAUUAAACAUUUAUGGCUAUUAGAUGGGUAUGCGUCCUAUUAGUUAGUUGGUGAGGUAACGGCUUACCAAGGCAGCGAUAGGUAGGGGUCCUGAGAGGGAGACUCCCCACACUGGUACUGAGACACGGACCAGACUCCGUACGGGAGGCAGCAGUGAGGAAUAUUGGACAAUGGGCGAGAGCCUGAUCCAGCCAUGCCGCGUGCAGGAAGACUCGCCCUAGUGGGUUAGUAAACUGUCUUUUACAGAGGAAGAACCCACCCCACGUGUGGGGGUUUUGACGGUACUCUGCGAAUAAGGAUCGGCUAACUCCGUG
Molecule: ribosomal RNA, 493 nt
Filed under: uncultured bacterium
Lineage: Bacteria
Description: bacterial SSU rRNA
Rfam family: Bacterial small subunit ribosomal RNA
Source: RNAcentral